UCUUCAUUCCCAGCUAUUCUCUCUCGCCCGCCACGCUCCACAGACAUGGACAUCGCCGCCCACUCCAUCGCCUAAUCAUCCUAUCGUCGUGCUCCGUCGCGCCCUGUAGGUGCUUCUCAUCCGCCGCGUCCUGCAGGUGCACUGCUCGUAGUUGCCGAUCCGAUUUGCCGCCAUUGAUUCGUCGCCUCCUUUGUUUUAGGGUUCCUGUUCUUCGACCGAACGGGCUUCAAAUCAAGUUUCCAGAGGUGAUUGUUCCUUUGUUUUAGGGUUCUUGUUCUUCGACUGAACACGCUUCAAAUCAAGCAAUCUUGUCCUUUCUUGGUGAUACCGGUACGCGCAAGAAUUAUCAUCUACCCACCAUCUAUCCAAGGAGAAAACAAAGAGGAAGUAGAAGUUGAAGAGACAAGGACUUCAUCACCACCACCACCUGAGGAACAUCAGGCAGGCAACUGUUUCUAUUUUGAUAUCUGCGGGACCGAGCCUGAUUCACCAGUAAAACAAG
Molecule: RNA transcript, 502 nt
Organism: Zea mays
Lineage: Eukaryota; Viridiplantae; Streptophyta; Magnoliopsida; Poales; Poaceae
Exons: 4
Source: RefSeq, a predicted model, not a curated record